RNAcentral lists this ribosomal RNA (492 nucleotides) under uncultured bacterium. RNAcentral's name for it is "partial 16S ribosomal RNA". It matches the Rfam family "Bacterial small subunit ribosomal RNA", at positions 28 to 507 of the family's 1533-position model. The record is from RNAcentral.
GAUGAACGCUGGCUACAGGCUUAACACAUGCAAGUCGAGGGGAAACGGCAUUGAGUGCUUGCACUGAAUGGACGUCGACCGGCGCACGGGUGAGUAACGCGUAUCCAACCUUCCCGUUACUGCGGGAUAACCUGCCGAAAGGCAGACUAAUACCGCAUGUUCUUCGAUGACGGCAUCAGAUUCGAAGCAAAGAUCCGUCGGUAACGGAGGGGGAUGCGUCUGAUUAGCUAGUUGGCGGGGCGACGUCCCACCAAGGCGACGAUCAGUAGGGGUUCUGAGAGGAAGGUCCCCCACAUUGGAACUGAGACACGGUCCAAACUCCUACGGGAGGCAGCAGUGAGGAAUAUUGGUCAAUGGGCGGAAGCCUGAACCAGCCAAGUAGCGUGCAGGAUGACGGCCCUACGGGUUGUAAACUGCUUUUAUGCGGGGAUAAAGUGAGGGACGCGUCCCUUUUUGCAGGUACCGCAUGAAUAAGAACCGGCUAAUUCCGUG